This is a long non-coding RNA of Astatotilapia calliptera (eastern happy), 1097 nucleotides long. NCBI's taxonomy places the organism in Eukaryota, Metazoa, Chordata, Actinopteri, Cichliformes, Cichlidae. The record is from Ensembl.
GCGCUGAUGGACGUAGGAAGUGUUACAAACAGCUGAUGGAUCGGCGAAGCGUGUUUCUGGAAUAUCAUGUUUUUGUUGCUGCAAGUGAUUUUUAUGCAGUUUUUGCAAAGCUAUAUGUGGAAGGAAACUGUGACCUAGGACAAGCUGAUGGCAUAAGAUUUCAAUAGUUGUGGUAUGAGCUGGAAAAGCAGAGCAGUCCAGAUGUCCUUUUCACCUGGGGAAAACAUGCUAAGACGGUCCCUGGCCGAAUGAGGGCAAAAACUCCGCCCCUACCUGAUAAUAAGCUGAUCACACCUGCGAGAGAUCCCAGAGAGGCCAAUAAGAGGGCCUGGCAGACCAAAGGAAGGGGUUCGACCGAGAGGCAAGAGAGGACUGAAGCAUGAAGGCACCCAUGAGUGUCACGGGAACCCACGAGAGCCUGGAGUGACACGGAGGCUUAAGAGAUGAGGCCUGAGAGGCCUGACGUGAGGCUUCAGGGUGAAGUCACAGAGGCGUGACACAUGGCGUGGGACAUGAGGCCUGACAUGAGGUUUGAGAGCGACACGAAAAGAGUGACACAUAAGACAGUUGGAGCUUGGCGUUCCAGAGAGCACGAUACAGCACCAGCAACUAGGCACGUGGAGCGAACAGUUGGACGGCAGUAGCAACAAGAGCCCAGCUUGUGCACUGCGGGAGAGCAGAGGUGGCAAGACAGCUGGUGCCAAUUUGCAGUUUUAAAGAAGCGGCGGGCGGAGUUGAGAGCUCUGCCCACCCGGGGUAAGUCUUCGACUUAUCCCCUUUUUACGAAUGAAAACUGCCUGAAAAGAAUAGUGACUGCCACUCCCUCCCUUUCUUCAGCGUACCGGGACGCGGAAUGUGGGGAGGAAGGCGAGGACUCCGCUGGGUUUCCCUUUUAUAUCACUUCGCUGGAUUUCUUAGCUCCCUGGGACUUUUAGGUCGUGGCGCAGGCCACUGGACUUUUAAUGUUGUGUUUUAUUGAUUUUUAUUGUGUUACCCCUUGGCCAACCCCUUUUUUUAAUUCAUUUUACAUUUUUAACUAUUUACAGUGGGGCAAAAAAGUAUUUAGUCAGCCACCGAUUGUGCAAGUUCCCCCACCU